GUGAAUCAUCGAAUCUUUGAACGCAUAUUGCGCUUCCUGGUAUUCCGGGGAGCAUGCUCGUUUCAGAAUCAUUCAAAAACUCACAAGCUGUUUCUUGCCUGUCAUGGGUUUAAGUCGAGCACUUUGUGGAUUUGAGUGUUGUUUGUUCUGGUCUCUUUUGGCCGGAUCAAUCACUCUGAAACAAUUGUGCGUAGGACGCUGAUACGCAUGUCAUGUGCGUACUUUGGUCCAACUCUCAGUGCAACAGAAAAGUCUCACUGAGGUUUGAUGCCAAGGCGGGCCUACAAGCCCAGCACCGUU
Molecule: unclassified non-coding RNA, 300 nt
Filed under: uncultured Chytridiomycota
Lineage: Eukaryota; Fungi; Chytridiomycota
Description: sequence contains 5.8S rRNA gene, ITS2
Rfam family: 5.8S ribosomal RNA (bases 1-71)
Source: RNAcentral